UACGUAGGGGGCAAGCGUUGUCCGGAUUUAUUGGGCGUAAAGAGCGUGUAGGCGGCUAUACAGGUCCGCUGUGAAAACUCGAGGCUCAACCUCGAGACGUCGGUGGAAACCGUAUGGCUAGAGUCCGGAAGAGGAGAGUGGAAUUCCUGGUGUAGCGGUGAAAUGCGCAGAUAUCAGGAAGAACACCAGUGGCGAAGGCGACUUCCUGGCCUGUUCUUGACGCUGAGGCGCGAAAGCUAGGGGAGCAAACGGG
RNAcentral lists this ribosomal RNA (253 nucleotides) under uncultured bacterium. RNAcentral describes it as "partial 16S ribosomal RNA". It matches the Rfam family "Bacterial small subunit ribosomal RNA", at positions 524 to 776 of the family's 1533-position model. The record is from RNAcentral.